Molecule: ribosomal RNA, 254 nt
Filed under: uncultured bacterium
Lineage: Bacteria
Description: partial 16S ribosomal RNA
Rfam family: Bacterial small subunit ribosomal RNA
Source: RNAcentral
UACGGAGGGGGCUAGCGUUGUUCGGAAUUACUGGGCGUAAAGCGCACGUAGGCGGACUGUUAAGUCAGGGGUGAAAUCCCGGGGCUCAACCUCGGAACUGCCUUUGAUACUGCAAAUCUCGAGUCCGGAAGAGGUGAGUGGAAUUCCUAGUGUAGAGGUGAAAUUCGUAGAUAUUAGGAAGAACACCAGUGGCGAAGGCGGCUCACUGGUCCGGUACUGACGCUGAGGUGCGAAAGCGUGGGGGAGCAAACAGG